UACAGAGACUGCAAGCGUUAUUCGGAUUCACUGGGCGUAAAGGGUGCGCAGGCGGUUGGGUGUGUCAGAUGUGAAAUCCCGAGGCUCAACCUCGGAACUGCGUCUGAAACUACUCGACUAGAGUACUGGAGAGGGUAACGGAAUUCACGGUGUAGCAGUGAAAUGCGUAGAUAUCGUGAGGAACACCAGAGGCGAAGGCGGUUACCUGGACAGUUACUGACGCUAAGGCACGAAAGCAUGGGGAGCAAAAGGG
RNAcentral lists this ribosomal RNA (253 nucleotides) under uncultured bacterium. Its description in RNAcentral is "partial 16S ribosomal RNA". It matches the Rfam family "Bacterial small subunit ribosomal RNA", at positions 524 to 776 of the family's 1533-position model. The record is from RNAcentral.